This 468-nucleotide ribosomal RNA is filed under the name uncultured bacterium. RNAcentral's name for it is "partial 16S ribosomal RNA". It matches the Rfam family "Bacterial small subunit ribosomal RNA", at positions 28 to 507 of the family's 1533-position model. The record is from RNAcentral.
GACGAACGCUGGCGGCGUGCUUAACACAUGCAAGUCGAACGGAAAGGCCCUGCUUUUGUGGGGUGCUCGAGUGGCGAACGGGUGAGUAACACGUGAGUAACCUGCCCUUGACUUUGGGAUAACUUCAGGAAACUGGGGCUACUACCGGAUCGGAGCUCCUGCUGCAUGGUGGGGGUUGGAAAGUUUCGGCGGUUGGGGAUGGACUCGCGGCUUAUCAGCUUGUUGGUGGGGUAGUGGCUUACCAAGGCUUUGACGGGUAGCCGGCCUGAGAGGGUGACCGGCCACAUUGGGACUGCGAGACGGCCCAGACUCCUACGGGAGGCAGCAGUGGGGAAUAUUGCACAAUGGGCGGAAGCCUGAUGCAGAAACGCCGCGUGCGGGAUGACGGCCUUCGGGUUGUGAACCGCUUUCGCCUGUGACGAAGCGGGAGUGACGGUAAUGGGUAAAGAAGCACCGGCUAACUACGUG